AGAGUUUGAUCAUGGCUCAGAACGAACGCUGGCGGCGUGCCUAACACAUGCAAGUCGAACGAGAAAGGGACUUCGGUCCUGAGUAAAGUGGCGCACGGGUGAGUAACACGUAGGUAACCUGCCUCUAAGUUUGGGAUAACCUGUCGAAAGACGAGCUAAUACCAAAUAAGACCACGGUCUCUUUGGAGACAGGGGUCAAAGGUAGCCUCUAUUUAUAAGCUAUCGCUAAGAGAUGGGCCUGCGUACCAUUAGCUAGUUGGUGAGGUAACGGCUCACCAAGGCAAAGAUGGUUAGCUGGUCUGAGAGGAUGAUCAGCCACACUGGAACUGAGACACGGUCCAGACUCCUACGGGAGGCAGCAGUGGGGAAUAUUGCGCAAUGGGCGAAAGCCUGACGCAGCAACGCCGCGUGAGUGAUGAAGGCCUUCGGGUCGUAAAGCUCUGUCGGAGGGAACGAAUGCUCUCGAGGUUAACAGCCUCGGGAAGUGACGGUACCCUCAAAGGAAGCACCGGCUAACUCUGUGCCAGCAGCCGCGGUA
This 538-nucleotide ribosomal RNA is filed under the name uncultured Pseudomonadota bacterium. RNAcentral's name for it is "bacterial SSU rRNA". It matches the Rfam family "Bacterial small subunit ribosomal RNA", at positions 8 to 522 of the family's 1533-position model. The record is from RNAcentral. Lineage: Bacteria; Pseudomonadati; Pseudomonadota.